CCCAGAUCUCCAGCAGAACAUAUUUGAGAGGGGACACAUUCCAACCUCUCAGUUUCUCAUUUGGUGGAACCUUUGGAUUGAUCCUCUUCCAUCUUCAUUUAGGAGUUCCUCUUUCUCUUCCCUCCAGGUAUUCAGGGUUCCUCUGGCUGGGUGAGGAUUUGGGCCCUCUUCUCUUUCCAGUCUAUACCCUCUUCCUCGUCAAUUGCACCUCCUUUCCUGUACCCUUGUUAUGCGAACAACUCCAAAAUGUGUGUUUCAAACUCAGAUCUCCCUUCUGAACUCUAGACCUUUAUAUCCAAUAAUUUACCUUGUAUACAUGAUACAUUGGCAUCUUCACAUGUUCUAAAGUAAACUUAGGAAAAGAAUAGGUGUUGGUGAGAACUGGGAGAAAUUGGAUCCUAUCUUGCUGGUCGGAAGAUAAAAUGGCUCAGCCACUGUGGGAAAAAUUUUGUUGGUUCCUCAAAAAGUUAAACACAGAAUUAACAUAUGACCUGGCACUUCCACUCCUAGGUAUGCACACAAAAGACUGAAAAGAGGAACUUGAACAAAUCCUUGUAUGAGAAUGUUCACAGCAGCACUAUCCACAGCAGCCAAAAGAUGGAAAUAAUCCAAAUGUCCAUCAACGGAUAAGUGAGAAAGACUGCAGGGGUAUACUUCAAAAUACUCAUAUGUCCAAGUGUUUCAAUUCUAGAGGCUUGCUGUCUUUGUCAUUUCAUAGCUCGCCUUGGGAAGCUUAAGGUACUGUGACCGAGCUUUCAUGGAAAUCAGGAAGAUUCUGAGAGAAUCCAAAUGUGACCAUCUGGGAGAGUUAAGAGAAGAAAAUACACCAUGUGGAGAGACAAGGACUGCCACUCCUGGAGUUCCAAAUGGACAGAAGGAGAGAGCUUCCUCGCAUCUUUGGGAAAAUCCUAUCUACAUAGCAUAAAUGCCCCAUACUCCACCCUGGAAGAGGCUAAUCAGGGGCACCUCCUCAUGGGUGCCAGAUAUUAGAAGAUUUUACAGGCUCCAUUGCGGCAGAAGGUAAUCAAAAAGGCCCAAGCCCCACCCUACAGAGAGCAGCAGCAUGACCUUAAACUGCCUUUGCUGGUCACUUGGAGAGGGAGGGUCCAUUUUCCUCAGUGGGCAACAAAGCCGCUGAUAAUCAGGUGCACACAUGACGUGGAUGUAACCUGCUGAGGAAGUGUCUGAUAUACCAAAGGAGCCAGGACUCACAACAAGCCUGGCCAGGAAAAAGAAGCCUCAGAGAACCCCAGAGCAGCCUCUACUUUGUAGAUGAUAUGAGUAAAUACAACGCAGACAGCCACUUAGCAAGUUCAGAGCCACUUCCAAACGACGCUGAGGGCCUGGUGUCAGCUCCUGCACAGCAGGCUCCAUUCUCUCCCCUUCAGGCUGUGUGCAUGUUCACUCCAGUGAGUCACAAAGACACAUUCCCAGGUGCGCACCUGGCCAAAAGCACAGAAGAGGAAGUCGCACAUGUGACCAUCCUCUGCCAACCAGCCCACGUGUACAGCAGAAAUCAGUAUUGUUUGCCUCUGUAAUAAAAUCAUUGCAUAAAUUUUGUAGAGCUUUGAAUCGGCCUCGUAAGUGUCACCAGGCAACUCUUCCAAGAAGGGUAGGGGGAUGGUGAGGUAGAGAACUCCAGGGACACAGAAAAGGACCAUGGUGUGUUUCUUGCAAAGCCCUUGUGCUGGAAAUGCUAUGAAGGCAAAAACUUUAUGCUGACCAUGAAACCCAAUCAAUAUAACACAAAAUUCAGGCCAGGUACAAUGGCUCACACCUGUAAUUCCAGCAUUUUGGGAAGCCAAGGCGGGCAGAUUGCUUUAGCUCAGGAGUUCGAGACAAGCCUGGGCAAACAUGGCGAAACCCCGUCUCUAUAGAAAAUACAAAAAAAGGCCAGGAGUAGUGGCUCAUGCCUGUAAUCCCAGCACUUUGGGAGGCCGAGGCAGGCAGAUCACCUGAGGUCAGGAGUUCAAGACUAGCCUGGCCAGCAUGGUGAAACCCUGUCUCUACUAAAAAAUACAAAAAUUAGCCAGGUGUAGUGGUGGGUACCUGUAAUCUCAGCUACUUGGGAGGCUGCGGCAGGAGAAUCGCUUGAACCUGGGAGUGGGAGGUUGCAGGGAGCCAAGAUCACACCACUGCACUCCAGCCUGGGCAACAAGAGUGAAACUCCAUCUAAAAAAAAGAAAAAAAAAGGAAAAGAAAAUACUAAAAAAUAGCCAGGUGUGGUGGUGCACGCCUGUGGUCCCAGCUACUUGGGAGGCUGAGGUGGGAGAAUCACUUGAGUCUGGGGUGCAGAGGCUGCAGUGAGCUGAGAUCAUGCCACUGCACUCCAGCCUGGGCAACAGAGCAAGACUGUGUCUCAAAAAAGAAAAAAAAUCCUCGAUAAAACUACAGAACCUUGCACUUGUAGCAACCAAUGCUUCCACUCCACACUGGAGUUCUCUCUGAAAGCAUUGCAAAAAUCCCUGUUAAGGUCAUGGGCCAAAACAUAAGGGAGACAAAACCACAAAGGGUGACAUCAGUUGCUUGUAAUGGUUUAGCUGCCAUGUGGUGGUAGCCAUAAGACGGCUGCUAAUCUGUAUCUU
RNAcentral lists this long non-coding RNA (2585 nucleotides) under Homo sapiens (human). RNAcentral's name for it is "HSALNT0172672". Lineage: Eukaryota; Metazoa; Chordata; Mammalia; Primates; Hominidae. The record is from RNAcentral.